GUAAAUCUAGAAUGGUGCUAAAGAGUGGUUUAGACAUUCAAGCAAAAAUCAUAAGUUCAUAGUCCCCUUCUUGACUCAAUAAAAUUAUUUUUGAAAAGAUUUUUACAAAACUCAAGAAGAUGGUGUUAGUAUUACCUCCCCCAGACUUAAAUUACACCGUCUCGGUGUAAAGUGUCCAAAGGUGGUGGAAAAAAAAAGAAGUUAGAUGUUUGAGAUGUUAGAGCAAAAAAAAAAUCAUACCUCUCUGUCUCGCACAUCGAUCGAUACCAUCCACUCCAUGUCGAUCGAUGGCGAGAAACAAAAAAAACUCUCUGUCAUGUUUGGAGUCAAACUCAUGUCAUCUGUCAGUGUGGUUAGCUCUGUUUGACACUCCAAGCAUAAGUAAUAAGUAAACAGUCUCAAAUAAGGGAAAUAGAUAGAAAUGGCAGGACUAGUCGGUGUCCUCGGCGGUCUCGUCAUCGUCGCUCUUGGAUGAGGGGUCUCUGCGCUGCCUAUCACGUCCUGCAGCUGCUGGUGAGUGAGCUAUGAUGGACCUCCUGCUUGUACAAGAUACUCUAGCCCAUAUGGUGCGAAGAGCAUCCACAACUACCCUCUGAAAGUCUCCCUGAUCGCGCAUAGGGAUGUCCGGGAUGUGUGGGAAGU
RNAcentral lists this long non-coding RNA (642 nucleotides) under Brassica rapa (field mustard). Its description in RNAcentral is "long non-coding RNA (BRAP_LNC004944)". Lineage: Eukaryota; Viridiplantae; Streptophyta; Magnoliopsida; Brassicales; Brassicaceae. The record is from RNAcentral.